This is a long non-coding RNA of Amblyraja radiata (thorny skate), 115 nucleotides long. RefSeq lists it as uncharacterized. The transcript has 3 exons. The record is from RefSeq and is a predicted model, not a curated record. NCBI's taxonomy places the organism in Eukaryota, Metazoa, Chordata, Chondrichthyes, Rajiformes, Rajidae.
ACCCUAGCUGAUGAAAGGAGCAUUCAGAAGCCUGAUAACAGAGGGGAAGAAGCUGUUCCUGAGUCUGUUGCUGCACGCUUUCAAGCUCGUGUACCUUUUGCCCGAUGAGAGUUGG